Molecule: ribosomal RNA, 835 nt
Filed under: Streptomyces sp. IM-8072
Lineage: Bacteria; Bacillati; Actinomycetota; Actinomycetes; Kitasatosporales; Streptomycetaceae
Description: bacterial SSU rRNA
Rfam family: Bacterial small subunit ribosomal RNA
Source: RNAcentral
GGCGGCGUGCUUAACACAUGCAAGUCGAACGAUGAAGCCCUUCGGGGUGGAUUAGUGGCGAACGGGUGAGUAACACGUGGGCAAUCUGCCCUUCACUCUGGGACAAGCCCUGGAAACGGGGUCUAAUACCGGAUAUGAGCCUGGGAGGCAUCUCCCGGGUUGUAAAGCUCCGGCGGUGAAGGAUGAGCCCGCGGCCUAUCAGCUUGUUGGUGAGGUAAUGGCUCACCAAGGCGACGACGGGUAGCCGGCCUGAGAGGGCGACCGGCCACACUGGGACUGAGACACGGCCCAGACUCCUACGGGAGGCAGCAGUGGGGAAUAUUGCACAAUGGGCGAAAGCCUGAUGCAGCGACGCCGCGUGAGGGAUGACGGCCUUCGGGUUGUAAACCUCUUUCAGCAGGGAAGAAGCAGAGUGACGGUACCUGCAGAAGAAGCGCCGGCUAACUACGUGCCAGCAGCCGCGGUAAUACGUAGGGCGCAAGCGUUGUCCGGAAUUAUUGGGCGUAAAGAGCUCGUAGGCGGCUUGUCACGUCGAUUGUGAAAGCCCGAGGCUUAACCUCGGGUCUGCAGUCGAUACGGGCUAGCUAGAGUGUGGUAGGGGAGAUCGGAAUUCCUGGUGUAGCGGUGAAAUGCGCAGAUAUCAGGAGGAACACCGGUGGCGAAGGCGGAUCUCUGGGCCAUUACUGACGCUGAGGAGCGAAAGCGUGGGGAGCGAACAGGAUUAGAUACCCUGGUAGUCCACGCCGUAAACGGUGGGAACUAGGUGUUGGCGACAUUCCACGUCGUCGGUGCCGCAGCUAACGCAUUAAGUUCCCCGCCUGGGGAGUACGGCCGC